RNAcentral lists this ribosomal RNA (1032 nucleotides) under Veillonella sp. Its description in RNAcentral is "partial 23S ribosomal RNA". It matches the Rfam family "Bacterial large subunit ribosomal RNA", at positions 1057 to 2104 of the family's 2925-position model. Lineage: Bacteria; Bacillati; Bacillota; Negativicutes; Veillonellales; Veillonellaceae. The record is from RNAcentral.
UGUUAAGUGGAAAAGGAUGUGGGGUUGCACAGACAACUAGGAUGUUAGCUUAGAAGCAGCUAUUCAUUCAAAGAGUGCGUAAUAGCUCACUAGUCGAGUGACCCUGCGCCGAAAAUGUACCGGGGCUAAAACAAUUUACCGAAGCUGUGGAUACCUUUAUAGGUAUGGUAGGAGAGCGUUCUAUGUGUGAAGAAGGUAUACCGUGAGGAGUGCUGGAACGCAUAGAAGUGAGAAUGCCGGUAUGAGUAGCGAAAGACAGGUGAGAAUCCUGUCCACCGUAAGACUAAGGUUUCCAGGGGAAGGCUCGUCCGCCCUGGGUUAGUCGGGACCUAAGGAGAGACCGAAAGGUGUAUCCGAUGGACAACAGGUUGAUAUUCCUGUACUAGAGUAUGUAGUGAUGGAGGGACGCAGUAGGCUAACUAAAGCAGACGAAUGGAAGUGUCUGUCUAAGCAGUGAGGUGUGAAUUGAGUUAAAUGCUUAGUUCUAUAACAUUGAGCUGUGAUGGGGAGCGAAGUUUAGUAGCGAAGUUAGUGACGUCACACUGCCAAGAAAAGCUUCUAGCGUUUAAACAUACUCUACCCGUACCGCAAACCGACACAGGUAGUCGAGGCGAGUAGCCUCAGGUGAGCGAGAGAACUCUCGUUAAGGAACUCGGCAAAAUGACCCCGUAACUUCGGGAGAAGGGGUGCUGACUUUACGUCAGCCGCAGUGAAUAGGCCCAAGCAACUGUUUAUCAAAAACACAGCUCUCUGCUAAAUCGUAAGAUGAUGUAUAGGGGGUGACGCCUGCCCGGUGCUGGAAGGUUAAGAGGAGUGCUUAGCGUAAGCGAAGGUAUGAAUUGAAGCCCCAGUAAACGGCGGCCGUAACUAUAACGGUCCUAAGGUAGCGAAAUUCCUUGUCGGGUAAGUUCCGACCCGCACGAAAGGCGUAAUGAUUUGGGCACUGUCUCAACGAGAGACUCGGUGAAAUUUUAGUACCUGUGAAGAUGCAGGUUACCCGCGACAGGACGGAAAGACCCCAUGGAGCUUUAC